This 79-nucleotide ribosomal RNA is filed under the name Ailuropoda melanoleuca (giant panda). Lineage: Eukaryota; Metazoa; Chordata; Mammalia; Carnivora; Ursidae. The record is from RNAcentral.
GUCUAUGGCCAUACCACCCUAAAUACACCUGAUCUCAUCUGAUCUCAGAAGCUAAGCAAGGUCAGGCCUGGUUAGUACU